RNAcentral lists this small RNA (1116 nucleotides) under Pan troglodytes (chimpanzee). Its description in RNAcentral is "retained intron". Lineage: Eukaryota; Metazoa; Chordata; Mammalia; Primates; Hominidae. The record is from RNAcentral.
UCACAAAUCCAAGUUUGAUCUCCCAACACUGCAGCCUUUAGAGUAGAGACUGGUUCCAUGGAAAUGCCAGGCACACAUCCUGGGGACUCCUGCUACACCCUGACCCCUCAGAUCUGUGCUGGAAGCUGCACUCACAUUAGUGAAGCCUCCUGGACUGCUGUCUGGUACUGGGCAUCCUCUGGUGGUGCUGUGCAGGCUGGCAGCAGGGCCAGGCCUUCCCACCCAGGCUUCUGCUUCCUCUUCUGUGGAACAGGGUAGAUGGAGGGUGGCUGGAAGGAUUUGAGUCAGGAGUAGAGCUCAGGCUGGGGCUACUAUGCCCACAGAGUCCUACCAACAGGUUGAUGCAGAGACCGUGGUGGGCCUGGCCCGGGACCUGGAACCACUGAAGCGGACAGAGGAAGAGCCACUGGAAGAGCCACUGGAUGAGGCCCUAGUGCGGACAGUCGCCCUAAGCAGUGCAGGUGUCUUGAGCCCUAUGGUGGCCAUGCUGGGUGCAGUAGCUGCCCAGGAAGUGCUGAAGGUGGGCAGAGGCAUAGGUGUGGGGGGUACUGGGAAGAUGUGGAGAUCAGUGUGUGUGUCAGAGGGCACCCAGCGCUAGAGAGCAGCCCUGGAGCCUUCACCAACCUGGGUGAAGCCUCCAGCCAGGAUCUGAGGGGGGUCAGGAGGUGGCAGGAGUGCCCAGCCUGAAGUGCUGCCCCUAGGCAAUCUCCAGGAAGUUCAUGCCUCUGGACCAGUGGCUUUACUUUGAUGCCCUCGAUUGUCUUCCGGAAGAUGGGGAGCUCCUUCCCAGUCCUGAGGACUGUGCCCCGAGAGGCAGCCGCUAUGAUGGGCAAAUUGCAGUGUUUGGGGCUGGUUUUCAGGAGAAACUGAGACGCCAGCACUACCUCCUGGUGAGCUGUGGGGUGACACUGGGGGUGCCUUUGGGAGAGCCAGCCCAGCCCCUCUGGCUAAGGCUGUUCCUGCCAACAGGUGGGCGCUGGUGCCAUUGGUUGUGAGCUGCUCAAAAUCUUUGCCCUAGUGGGACUGGGGGCCGGGAACAGCGGGGGCUUGACUGUUGUUGACAUGGACCACAUAGAGCGCUCCAAUCUCAGCCGUCAGUUCCUCUUCAGGUCCCAG